CAGGAUUGGCAGAAAAGGACAGCUCUACCAUCUGCGUCUUGGGAUUGGCGACAUUGCAAUGCGAUCGCUGGAAAGUGUAACUUAUCCAUCGCCACCUAAACCAGCAUAAAAACCCAUCAAAUUGUUUUCUUAACUGGACAUCGCAAUGCCGAAGCCUGCAAAACAGCACAAACCUGACCAGCCUCGGGAUACGGCAGAAGAUCCUGUUGACUUGAGUGAAGCUAACGCUAGCGUCAAGCACGCUGUUAAUAGAGCCGGGAUACUGCCCGACGAGGUGUCUGGAAAUGCCUGCAGCUCACGACCCUGAGCCGGAAACACAGCAGCAGACUUGGAGAUUGCGAGUCACAAUGCCGGGAAAGCCUUUGGUAAGUAUUUGUUUAGUUAACUAAGAAUUUUUCCAAGUGUUUAACAAGUGUUUUUUGCCACCUCCUUGUGCUUUAGGACUGAUAGCUAGCUUAUUUUCCUCUCCAUAGGAGUUACAGACAUGGAUGUUCUUGUCUUCUCCUCAUUUAUGUUUCUAUUUGUGUUGUUCAGAGGUUCCUUAGUUGUUGCAGGUCCAGAGGCCUUCCUUUCCUCUCUCUUCACCGUGACAGACUGACAUUACUGCGGCCGCUACACUGAUCCGCCUGUCAAUCUCACGCUCCAUCCUUCCCUCACUAGUGAACAAGACCCCAAGAUACUCAGAUUCCUCCACUUGAGGCAGUAACUUUCCCCCAACCCAGAGGGAGCAAGCCACCUUUUUCUGGCCGAGAACCAUGGGAUCGGACUUCGAGGUGCUGAUUCUCAUCCCAGCUGCUUCAAACUCAGCUGCAAACCGCCCCAGGACAUGCUGGAGGUCCUGGCUCGAAGGA
Acanthopagrus latus (yellowfin seabream) is the source of this 851-nucleotide long non-coding RNA. RefSeq lists it as uncharacterized. The record is from RefSeq and is a predicted model, not a curated record. The transcript is spliced from 3 exons. NCBI's taxonomy places the organism in Eukaryota, Metazoa, Chordata, Actinopteri, Spariformes, Sparidae.